This is a long non-coding RNA of Acipenser ruthenus (sterlet), 2954 nucleotides long. RefSeq lists it as uncharacterized. The transcript is spliced from 10 exons. The record is from RefSeq and is a predicted model, not a curated record. Lineage: Eukaryota; Metazoa; Chordata; Actinopteri; Acipenseriformes; Acipenseridae.
UUGAUUCCAGUCGUGUAACGGCUUGGAUAACGACAUUAUCUUUAGCUAAUUAAAAAUAUACAUAUAACAAAUUAAUAUGUAACAUUUACAUGCAUCACACUACAUAAUAUUUGUCAUACAUCGCUGAGGAGAAUCUGUUUGAGACUUUCAAGCUAUAGAUACGUCACUAAAGCAGAAAAAGUCCACAGAGGUCCACGAACAGUGAGCUUUCCCUUUGGAGCUGCCCCAGCAACAGAGAGUGCCUCCUCAACCAAUCGCUGCCAAGGAACCCACACCGCUCGAGGCGGGUAUUUUCUUCACAGCACAGAAUGCCUUUCCUCACAGCGACAAGUGUUGAGAUUCAAAGGUGAAUGCCUGGUAGCACAAUAUGGAAAAGUCAGCUGUGGAGGAAUGGACUGUUGAAAAUGUAGUGGAGUGGAUUUCUGGCUUAGGUCUGGGCAACUUCACGGCAACAUUUACAGAGGCUUUGCAUGAGUGGUGUACAUUAACAGCUGGCAAUGAAGUUGACUACCAUGCACUCGAUGCUUAUGAAGACAGUGAUGGAUGUUUAUAUAUUGCACCUCAUCAUACUGUGUAUAAGGUGAAGAAAUAGAUGGUGAGACUCUUUUAGGUCUGACAGAACAUAUGAUUGGAAAAAUCUUCCGAACUAUGAAGGACCAAGUCAAAUUUUUAAAGGCUCUCGAGAACCUUAAAAGAACAAAAGCAAAUGAGCAUAUUGUUUCAGAGAAGGUGCUACCAGUAGAAUGCAGAGAAGUGCCACAAACCUCAACAAGUGUUCAUGUUUGGACCGCAUGUUAUACAUUGCCUAUAUUUCCUCCAGUUGUACAGAUGGCCCUUGAUAGAAAGGACAUUGGUUUCAAAUCAAAAGACAAAUCUGCCCUUCGUGCAGCUCUAAUACAGACUCUGUUUGAUGACCUCAGCAAAUAUACGCUGUAUCCAGACCACAUAAUGUACAGUACUGUGCUAAGUACUUUGUGCUGUAAGUACAGAUUUCUAAGGGAUGACAGCCAAACUGGAUAUGCUACUCUACUUGAAAUACUGAGAAAUUAAUUCAAAAAAGAGAGAAAGACACUUAUUUCAGUGGAGACUGUAGAAGACAUGAAAAAAAAGUUUGGUGCUGUGGGUCGAGGAAGGAAGCGUGCACCAGAGCAACAGCAACCGCUCAUGGAAAAGAGAAGAGAAUCUAUGCAAAGUGAGGAGUUCCCAGGAGAAGACGAGCAUAGUACUGUACACACUCGGGAAAGAAUGAUGGAGAAGAAGUCCACUGAAGAAGUCCUUGGUCUGUUUCCAUUCCUAAAGCAUCCUAAACUGCUGUUGCACGAAGUAGAACUACGUUUUGGAGUAAACUUGGAACGGAACCUAAUGAGUGGCCUAUCCAGAAUGGUAGAUCCUAUUUUCAGACUUUCUAGUGGGCAUCUUCUAACUACUGUGAUGUCCUACAUUGAAGAUGCUUCAGAUAAGACACAGGAAAAUGGUAAUGUAUAAGAAAUAUUUAUUGUACAUCAAAUUGUUUUGACCUAUCUCAGAAUAGGAUCUAUAAAUAACUAUUAAACAGAAAAUGAUGCAACUUCAUUUCAUACACUUAGAGCAUAAUAUUUCAUGGGGAAGAUAGCUGGUAUUUAACUCUCACAGGGGCAUAAAAACCAAUGCGAAAAACCUGCAUGAACAGAUUUUUAGAAACUUUGUUGAUACUGUUCUUAACAUUUUUUUGCUCCAAUCCACAAUAACGUUUGUAUCAGUGGUGGUCAGUCCUGGUCCUGGAGAGCUACAGUCUUGUGUGUGUUUUUUUAGGUACCUUUAAAUCAUUUAAACUAUUCUUUAUCUGUGCAGUUUAGCAAAUAAUGAAUUCAUGAAUGUAACUGAGAGCACUGGUGGAAUGCAAAGCCAAAGAUCCUGUACCUCUCAGACCAGGGUUGCUCAACAUUCUUCCGUUUGCUUUGUACUUUGUAUAUGAUCUGAUACCCUAUUUGUUUUUUUAGGACUGAGAAUGAAUGCUGCAUUGUUGCUGUUGCCAGCUUUGUUUCGAGAGAGGGAAAAUCUGUUGUUUGUUGUUGACCAAGUACCACCAUCACCUACGCCAACUAUCGUUUUCAAGGGAACAACAAGCCCAUUGGCAGCAGAUGACAUCUCUGUUUGUGUUGAUGGAAUUGAGAUACUCAGUGAUUAUCCAGGAAUAGAUAUCACCCUUGCUGUUGAAUGUAUUUUUUCUCUUUAUUUUUCCUUGGGCAUUGAGUAUCCUAAAGCUCUAAAAAAUUUUCUGACUUUCAUGGAAAGGUACUUCAUGAAGCUGAGUACCUCUGACAAAGUACCUUUGCCAGUGUUAAAGAUGUACAGUCAAAUAACUGCACUUUUACUUGGGGAAUAAUUAUAUUGAUCUGAUGGAAUGCCAUUUUAACAUUUAAUCUGAAAUUAAAUGAAUUUAUUGUGUCAACUAUUUAAUUUGAUUACAAAAACAGAAUGUUUGAUAUAAAAAUGUAAUUGUACAUAUCAAAAAAAGUAUUUAUUUUAAAUGUAAAUGGCUGAUUAGAAAAUUAAUUGUUUAUAACAAAUGUAAAUUGUUUUUAAUAGAAGUUUUGAUCUCAAAAAACUAAUAAACAUUCAGUCUUAAUUUAUAGAUAUCAUAAACUCAUAAUAAGCUCUGAUCUAAAUACUGUACUGUAGCUCUUCUAAUUUGUGCCACCAAAAAAUGAAUAAGAAAAAAGAAACCCACGUUCAUCAGUUUCAAUAUACAUUUUAUCUCAGCUUUUUCAAGGUCUAUUACAUGUUCUUGAAAAUGUAUUUUGUGUAAGUUUCAGGAAAAUCUGUGGGAUGCAUAGAUUUAUUUUCCAGUUUGCUGCGAGACCCUUUUUUUCACUGUGUAAAUAAUAUGGUUUAAUUAUUAAAAACACACAGGUUGAAUAAAACUGUGUAAAACUGUAUAUAACUAAACCUGAAACUGAAACUGCUCUAAUGGU